This 30-nucleotide ribosomal RNA is filed under the name Bemisia tabaci. RNAcentral describes it as "partial 5.8S ribosomal RNA". Lineage: Eukaryota; Metazoa; Arthropoda; Insecta; Hemiptera; Aleyrodidae. The record is from RNAcentral.
CUCGAACGGUGGAUCACUCGGCUCGCGGAU